Molecule: long non-coding RNA, 674 nt
Organism: Myodes glareolus (Bank vole)
Lineage: Eukaryota; Metazoa; Chordata; Mammalia; Rodentia; Cricetidae
Source: RefSeq, a predicted model, not a curated record
UCUUGAAAUGUGGUCUCUAAAGCAGGAGCCUUCAUAUUCCCCGGGUGGUUGUAGAAGCCCAGACACCCUCAUGCUGGAUUGAACCCUCUGAGGGCACUGGUCUGAGAAUCACGGGUGUGGCUCACACAGACGAACAGCUGCCUGCAUGAGAUGGGUGUAGUAGGCGUGUGAGAACCUGAGGCAGCUGCCUUCUUACUCAGAGUUGAAGAGACCCAGGGAGGAUGAUCAUUGCCCUGUGUGUGCUCCAGGUACAGCCACUUCGGAAACCCACCUGUAGGGGGUGAACGACCCGGAGACCUUCCUACAGUAACAAGGGACGUGUGGCAAAGACGCCCUGACGUUUCUGGUCUUGCCUCUACAUCUCAUUUUCUGUAAUUCCGAAUAUCUAUGGGAGAGCUCCAUCUACAGCCUCUUUUUAAAGGAAGAGCUGCCCUGGGUGCUUGAAGACUGUUCCCAAGCUUGGCAUCUUGCAGAAUCUAUGUAAAUUUGGAUCAGGACUCAACUCUACUCCUGGGAAGACUCCCCUUUCCCUCCUCUUGGGAUCUGUUGCACUUACACCACCGGCUAUUCUGGCAGGUGCGAGAACAUUCUCCCCAGGGUCCCCAAGGACCCCAGUCUCCAUCUACCACGGCCUGCAACACACAAUGCCACUGAAUCAGGACCAAAGCGGAGCA